RNAcentral lists this non-coding RNA (20 nucleotides) under Mus musculus (house mouse). The record is from RNAcentral. Lineage: Eukaryota; Metazoa; Chordata; Mammalia; Rodentia; Muridae.
CCGGUUCUCUGGCGCACCCU